CGGUGUUUCACUGCCGGCUGCGUGGUCGGAUCUUAACUACGGUCCGGAACGUACCACGGGCGUUCCUCACAAGAACGAGGUUGGUCCGCUCGACCGCGCCCAUGACGCUUGCUCCCCGUUGGAGCCGACGCGGAUGAUGAUGGGGAAGAGGGAGCGAAACACCAUCAAAAUUGCAAGGAAGAGGCAGCAAGAACGUCCCAACCGUCUCCGCCUCGCAACUUGCGGGGAUUAAAAGGAGAGACGGAGUGAUCGAUCGAGCGACAUGGAUUUCCCACCGGAGAACGACAUCUGUUCCGUCUGCCAUGAGGACUUCACUCUCCCUUGCCAGGCCAAUUGCUCCCAUUGGUUCUGCGCACAUUGUAUUUUGGGGGUUUGGCAUCAUGGAUUUGCCCGUGAGCCAUGCAAAUGCCCCAUAUGUCGCCGUACGAUAACUCUACUGAUACCUGCUGAAGCUGUGCAACAACAGCGCCAUGACCCCGAAGUUAGUCAAGUCCUUGGAAACGUUGAAAGGUACAACCGCUUGUUUGGUGGAGGUUCGCCCAACCUCAGUCAGAUGUUGCAGGACCUUCCAUUUUUCCUUCGAAGGAUGUUAACAGAACUGAUGGAUCCUCAGAGAUCACUUCCCUUUUUUUUCAAGGCACGAAUGGUUUUGGCGUUUUUAGCCAAGUAGCAAGGAAAAGUUCAACUCCAUGCUCUGCUUGAUAUUGGCACAACCACAACUUCUAGAUGAUUUGAAUGAUCAAUUCAGGAGUAGCUCUUGUUGUUUCUGUAUGCUGGAUAAUUUGGAAGGUAGAAUGCCUUUUUUUUUUGUCUCUCAGUGUUGUUGAUUUUGGAGUAGGUUUUUUGAAACAUAGUUAGCUGAAAGAUGCUAUCUGCAUCAUUUAUUGAUCACAUUCUCUAUCAGCCAGAGUCUAUCUUCAGGAUUUCUUUUAAAUAUUUCAAGAGAGAGGGUGUUUAAGUAAGAAAAAUGAUCACUCCUGGAGCAUCAAGUAUUUUAGAAAUAAAGGAUUCAUAAUGAGAGAAAGCAACAUCUAAUAAACGAUCUUAUUUAUUGCAUGCAAAUAAAGAACGAAACCAUUCUAGCAUAUUUAGAGACAAUGAAACUCUUGAUUAGAUAAGCAAUGUAUGCAUCAAUACACACAUAACGCUAUUUACAGGUACGUAUGUCUGUACACAUCUUGAGUUGAUGGACCUAAACACUUCCUAGUUUAUAUUCCCUUCUUUUCUGGAAAAAGAGAACCUUUAAACAACAAGCCACAAAUAAUUAUGAAUCUUGACAGGUUGCUAUUCGCUUUUAUAAUUAUAUAAUGAUGCUGAAGAGUGCUAGUCUUACAUUUAGUUUCCGGCAAGAUUGUGAUACAGAGAUUACUAUAUUUGGUAAAGUUGCUUGUCUUCGUGAGGUAAGGAGAAUAGCUUUAGUUGGAGGCUAUAACAUGCAUAGCAGGAGUGACAACUCAUCAGCCAGGAGCAAGGUUUCAAGAUCACAUGGUUCAGAAUAAACUGCCUGAUAACAAGAUGUCCUGAAAGGGGUAUAUUCAGUGUUAGGAUGUCUAGAAGGUAGCAGAUCUGAUUUUUAGUGAAUCUUGUUGAGAUGUGGGAUGCCUAAUAUUGUAGUUAAGAAAAGAUUGGAAACAUUAUCAUAUUUGGCAAAAGAAUUUGCGUCUUUGUAGACUCUAUGAAGACAUAACAUAUUAGUAAUAGUAUAAUGUUAGCCUGUUGGGUUCCACAGCCUUU
Molecule: non-coding RNA, 1734 nt
Organism: Elaeis guineensis (African oil palm)
Lineage: Eukaryota; Viridiplantae; Streptophyta; Magnoliopsida; Arecales; Arecaceae
Source: RefSeq, a predicted model, not a curated record